GACGAACGCUGGCGGCGUGCUUAACACAUGCAAGUCGAACGAAAAUACCAAGCUUGCUUGGUUGAUUAGUGGCGAACGGGUGAGUAACACGUGAGUAACCUGCCCCUUACUUUCCUGGAUAACUGCUCGAAAGGGUAGCUAAUACGGGAUAUUCUGACCAGCCUGCAUGGGUUGGUUUGGAAAGGUUGUUUUUCUGGUAAGGGAUGGGCUCGCGGCCUAUCAGCUUGUUGGUGGGGUGAUGGCCUACCAAGGCUUUGACGGGUAGCCGGCCGGAGAGGGUGGACGGUCACACUGGGACUGAGAUACGGCCCAGACUCGUACGGGAGGCAGCAGUGGGGAAUAUUGCACAAUGGGCGCAAGCCUGAUGCAGCGACGCCGCGUGAGGGAGGAAGGGAUUCGGGUUGUAAACCUCUUUCGUCAGAGAACAAGGCACUGAUUUUUUGGUGGUGUUGAGGGUACCUGGAUAAGAAGCGCCGGCUAACUACGUG
RNAcentral lists this ribosomal RNA (488 nucleotides) under uncultured bacterium. Its description in RNAcentral is "partial 16S ribosomal RNA". It matches the Rfam family "Bacterial small subunit ribosomal RNA", at positions 28 to 507 of the family's 1533-position model. The record is from RNAcentral.